This 497-nucleotide ribosomal RNA is filed under the name uncultured bacterium. RNAcentral's name for it is "partial 16S ribosomal RNA". It matches the Rfam family "Bacterial small subunit ribosomal RNA", at positions 28 to 507 of the family's 1533-position model. The record is from RNAcentral.
GAUGGACGCUGGCGGCGUGCCUAAUACAUGCAAGUCGAGCGAACGGACGAGAAGCUUGCUUCUCUGAUGUUAGCGGCGGACGGGUGAGUAACACGUGGAUAACCUACCUAUAAGACUGGGAUAACUUCGGGAAACCGGAGCUAAUACCGGAUAAUAUUUUGAACCGCAUGGUUCAAAAGUGAAAGACGGUCUUGCUGUCACUUAUAGAUGGAUCCGCGCUGCAUUAGCUAGUUGGUAAGGUAACGGCUUACCAAGGCAACGAUGCAUAGCCGACCUGAAAGGGGGAUCGGCCACACUGGAACUGAGCCACGGUCCAGACUCCUACGGGAGGCAGCAGUAGGGAAUCUUCCGCAAUGGGCGAAAGCCUGACGGAGCAACGCCGCGUGAGUGAUGAAGGUCUUCGGAUCGUAAAACUCUGUUAUUAGGGAAGAACAUAUGUGUAAGUAACUGUGCACAUCUUGACGGUACCUAAUCAGAAAGCCACGGCUAACUACGUG